UACCUUGAGGCAAAGCCCCAUUCAUCUGGCGUCAAUUACAGUUCUACUCAGCCUGGAGGGGACGCCUGACUUCCCACACCUGACUUUCCUCUCCGCUCCCCAAGACCCUAGAACCUUCCGUUAUCCUGUUACUGAGCAUUACGGCCAGGCUCUCUAUCUGACAGCACAAAGACAACACCCAAUGUCAAGAGGAGCACUGUGUGACCCAAGGUAUAAUGGGACUCCAGAAAGUGGCUGGCUUUCCCUGAAUUUCCCACUAGAGGAGGCGGGAUGCGCCCGCGGUGCUGGAAGCAUGCAUGCUGGGGUCCUCCUGGAGCCCUCCUCCUCCAGAGAAGUCCAAUACUCUCCAAAAACAGGGCACACAGACCCUGCAAGAUGAGCCCCCUACUUGGAGAGAGACUGAGCCACCCAAAGACCUUCAAGGACAGAACACGAGUUCACCAAUCAAUGAAUGCCGGGAGCAUCCUCAGACCCUCUGCAGCCCAUGCUGGUGUGAAUAUGGAGUCAGUUCUCUCUUGAAAAUGCAUUACUAGCGGCGGCGACAUCCAUGUUUGCAGAGGAAGAGAGGCCUUCCUUUUCCCAAGUGGACCCUACACUCCACUCAGGGGAAUCAAAACAGAGGAGGAUAGGGCUUUCUGCCUUCCUUCCCCAAGCUUUUCUUUCUGGGCGGUCGCAGGCUUUUGCCGAACCGUAGAGGCCAGGACCAUCCAAGGGCACAAGGGCUCGGUCUGUGGGGGAGUCUCCAGGUGCGGUUACACAGAGCGGGGGCCAGCACACCCACUCCCGUUACUCAUGCAGCUUGGCCCUGGCUGAAUGCAUGAACAAUGUCUUCCAGGCACUCCCUGUUUUCACUUCCCGCUGCCCACAAUGCCCCUCCUCUGUCUGACCCUUGGGGUCAACAUGCUUUCUAGCUGAUCCACCCGGCUUCCUCCCUCAGACCGGGCGGGAGGCUGUUUUUUAACUUCAGGGGUUCUUGGAGAAGAGCUUCCUCUGGCCCUCCACAAUCACAUCAAAUGCACUGGAUUCAGGGUCUUGAGAUUUGAAGAUUUGAAAGCAGAAGGAUCAGUGAGUCCGAACAGCGGGAAGGAGCAUGAAGCAGGACUUGAAAACUCCAUGAGCUAAGGGUUGGGAUGCGCAUGGCAGCACUAGUGACACGGUCUACAUCAACAACGAUACACGGAGUCAUAAAGCAGAAGACUGGUGCCCGGCACGCUCAACCUCGGUUUCCUCAUCACUCAGCAGGAUGUUGGGGUCCCCACAGCUAAUGUGGGGCAGACGUCCAAGCUCUGCACAUUGCAGGGAGCCCUCCACACCAGCUCCAGUGGGCUGUGGUGUUGCUUAUUUGGCCAAUCUCUAUUAAUGGAUAUUAAAGGUGUCUUCACAUGGAAUCAAUCUAGGUUCCCAUCAGUGGGGGAAUGAGUGAAGAAAAUGUGGUACAUACACACCAUCGAAUACUAUGCAGCCAUCCAAAAGAACGAAAUCAUGUCCUUACAGCAACAUGGCUGCAGCUGGAGGCCGUUUUCCUGAGCAAAUGAACGCAGGAGCAGAAAACCAAACAUCACAUGUCCUUACUUAUAAGUGGAAGCUAAACCUUCCGGACACAUGGACAUAAAGAUGGUAACAUAAACCCCGGGGACUUGAAAAUGGGGAAGGGUGGGGAGCAAGGGCUGAAACACUUCCUAAUGGGUACUGUGUUCAUUAUUCAGGUGAUGGGUUCAACAGAACCCUUGUAACAAACCUGCGUAUGCACCCU
Callithrix jacchus (white-tufted-ear marmoset) is the source of this 1753-nucleotide long non-coding RNA. RefSeq lists it as uncharacterized. The record is from RefSeq and is a predicted model, not a curated record. NCBI's taxonomy places the organism in Eukaryota, Metazoa, Chordata, Mammalia, Primates, Cebidae.